Molecule: ribosomal RNA, 468 nt
Filed under: uncultured bacterium
Lineage: Bacteria
Description: partial 16S ribosomal RNA
Rfam family: Bacterial small subunit ribosomal RNA
Source: RNAcentral
GACGAACGCUGGCGGCGUGCUUAACACAUGCAAGUCGAACGGAAAGGCACUGCUUUUGUGGGGUGCUCGAGUGGCGAACGGGUGAGUAACACGGGAGGAGCCUGCCCUUGACUUUGGGAUAACUUCAGGAAACUAGGGCUAAUACCGGAUAGGAGCUCCUGCUGCAGGGUGGGGGGUGGAAAGUUUAGGCGGAGGGGGACGGUGUCGCGGCUUAUCAGGGUGUUGGUGGGGUAGUUGCUUACCAAGGCUUUGACGGGUAGCCGGCCGGAUCACGUGACCGGCCGCCCUGCUACUGGUCUACUGCCCAGACUCCUACUGAAGGCAGCAGUGUGUAAUAUUGCACAAUGGUCGGUCGCCUGAUCCAGCAUCGCCGCGUGCGGGAAUACGGCCUUCGGGUUGUAAACCGCUUUCUCCUGUGACGAAUCGUUAGUGACGGUAAUGGUUAAAGAAGCACCUGCUAACUACGUG